UACGGAGGGUGCGAGCGUUAAUCGGAAUUACUGGGCGUAAAGGGCGCGUAGGCGGCCGAUCAAGUCAGAUGUGAAAGCCCACGGCUCAACCGUGGAAGUGCAUCUGAAACUGUUUGGCUUGAGUAUCGGAGGGGAAUGUGGAAUUCCUGGUGUAGAGGUGAAAUUCGUAGAGAUCAGGAGGAACACCGGUGGCGAAGGCGACAUUCUGGACGAAUACUGACGCUGAGGCGCGAAAGCGUGGGGAGCAAACAGG
This 253-nucleotide ribosomal RNA is filed under the name uncultured bacterium. Its description in RNAcentral is "partial 16S ribosomal RNA". It matches the Rfam family "Bacterial small subunit ribosomal RNA", at positions 524 to 776 of the family's 1533-position model. The record is from RNAcentral.